This is a long non-coding RNA of Solanum dulcamara, 722 nucleotides long. RefSeq lists it as uncharacterized. Lineage: Eukaryota; Viridiplantae; Streptophyta; Magnoliopsida; Solanales; Solanaceae. The record is from RefSeq and is a predicted model, not a curated record. The transcript has 3 exons.
AAAAAUAGGUUUUCUAGUGAGCUCUCAAAAAGGUGUCUAAAGAGGAUAAACUUCUUUGCACACACAAAGUUUCAAGGUACAUCAAAAGUGUUAUUUGUGUUGAUGUUAUUACUAUCAUGCACAAUUGGUAUAAACAACGCAGACAGAGCAAUUUGGAGAGAAAAAUAAAGUAAAGAAUUUAGAGAAGGGAAAACGCAGCAGCUAAGGAGAGUUGAAAGAAAAUACAGAGACAAGAAGCGACAAAUGCUUCCGGUAAUGCACGGAGAGAACCCAACUCUGAUAAAGUCAGAUUUCAAAAUUAUCGAUAUAGCUCUCGCUAGUGGGAAGGUAGAACUAGCAUACCGUUACAGAUAUCCUUCGAGAAGGGAUCUUUUGAUAUGAAUAUUUGACUCCUUUAUGAAGGGUCACACCGAUUACAUGAUUCAUUCUUGGAAAACUCUCAAAUAUAAGAGAGCACAUGUGACAUUGGUGGGGAAUUUGUUAAGCUAGCAAAUUGGCAAAUCCAUGGUGAGCCCGCACUUGUUCGCGCGGCUUCAAGUUAUUCAUUGUUAUGAACUUUUCUGAAACUCUUAGAGUUGCUUCAUAGUCAUUCCUUUAUUUGAGUCAUGAGUAUUCUUUCAUUAUUAUAGACGUGUGACUAGUUUUAAACUUUCUUUUCAUUUUUGGAGAUGAAUUAGUAUUGUUGUGUGGCGAAUAGAUUGAUAAUAGAUAUUAUGUCUUGA